RNAcentral lists this ribosomal RNA (448 nucleotides) under uncultured bacterium. RNAcentral describes it as "bacterial SSU rRNA". It matches the Rfam family "Bacterial small subunit ribosomal RNA", at positions 355 to 825 of the family's 1533-position model. The record is from RNAcentral.
UGGGGAAUAUUGGACAAUGGGCGCAAGCCUGAUCCAGCCAUGCCGCGUGAGUGACGAAGGCCUUAGGGUUGUAAAGCUCUUUUUGGCGGGGAAGAUAAUGACGGUACCCGCAGAAUAAGCUCCGGCUAACUUCGUGCCAGCAGCCGCGGUAAUACGAAGGGAGCUAGCGUUGUUCGGAAUCACUGGGCGUAAAGCGCACGUAGGUGGGCAGUUAAGUCAGGGGUGAGAGCCCGAGGCUCAACCUCGGAAUUGCCUCUGAUACUGGCUGUCUAGAGUUCGAGAGAGGUGAGUGGAAUUCCUAGUGUAGAGGUGAAAUUCGUAGAUAUUAGGAAGAACACCGGUGGCGAAGGCGGCUCACUGGCUCGAUACUGACACUGAGGUGCGAAAGCGUGGGGAGCAAACAGGAUUAGAUACCCAAGUAGUCCCUGAGCGGGCUGGCAAGGCGCAU